CACUGGAAUUGGACAGACACAGGAAAGCUUCCUUUACUAAACCCUUAUUACUGCGAUAUUAUUAUACACGCAGCCAGCACCUCCUUUAAUCAAUUUAACAUAAUAUGACCUAUGAGUUAAUCUUCCCUAAUGAGAAGGCCACCUUCACUCCAUUAAGAGACAGAUAUAUCAUCAACCUCAUCUUCCAGAUGAAGAAGGCAAUUAUGAAGAAAGCCUGGAAACAGGAGAUACUAACGGGAUGCAAAAGAUGUGACAGGCAGUGCAUGUCUGAAGGGAGAACCCAGCGUGCCAGAGGAAGGGGUGUACUCUGUUUCUCUUCUGGACAAUGGGGUAACAUGCUUGAAUGGAUCAGUUAUAGGCCUUCUUUGUUUCUGCAAAACCCUCUGACUAUCUUUGGAAGGAGACAUCUUAAUUUCUGUAAAUGGGCAUUUAAGUCACUCUGAAACAUAUCACAAGACUGAUUUGGCAUCAAAUAAAACCAUCUGACAAUGA
Molecule: long non-coding RNA, 492 nt
Organism: Lacerta agilis (Sand lizard)
Lineage: Eukaryota; Metazoa; Chordata; Lepidosauria; Squamata; Lacertidae
Exons: 2
Source: RefSeq, a predicted model, not a curated record